Long non-coding RNA from Ooceraea biroi (clonal raider ant), 178 nucleotides. RefSeq lists it as uncharacterized. The record is from RefSeq and is a predicted model, not a curated record. NCBI's taxonomy places the organism in Eukaryota, Metazoa, Arthropoda, Insecta, Hymenoptera, Formicidae.
GAACAUGGUGUUUGUACGACGCGAGCAUCAUUCUAAAAGAAAGUAGUUACGAAAAGAAAAAGAAGCUGUUCGUGAAAUACACAAUCAUGCCACUGAUGCAGAAAUUGCUGAAUGCAUUUCCAAGUGACUUGCUCAAGCUCCGAUUAGGAUUGAGAUGAAAGCAACAUACAAACAAAAA